This 29-nucleotide small RNA is filed under the name Bombyx mori (domestic silkworm). RNAcentral's name for it is "ovarian small RNA-11659". The record is from RNAcentral. Lineage: Eukaryota; Metazoa; Arthropoda; Insecta; Lepidoptera; Bombycidae.
ACUCCCAUAGAAGGGAUUGCCACGCAUCC